GAUGAACGCUGGCGGCGUGCCUAACACAUGCAAGUCGAGCGAAUGGAUUAAGAGCUUGCUCUUAUGAAGUUAGCGGCGGACGGGUGAGUAACACGUGAGUAACCUGCCCAUAAGACUGGGAUAACUCCGGGAAACCGGGGCUAAUACCGGAUAAUAUUUUGAACUGCAUGGUUCAAAAUUGAAAGGCGGCUUAGGCUGUCACUUAUGGAUGGACCCGCGUCGCAUUAGCUAGUUGGUGAGGUAACGGCUCACCAAGGCAACGAUGCGUAGCCGACCUGAGAGGGUGAUCGGCCACACUGGGACUGAGACACGGCCCAGACUCCUACGGGAGGCAGCAGUAGGGAAUCUUCCGCAAUGGACGAAAGUCUGACGGAGCAACGCCGCGUGAGUGAUGAAGGCUUUCGGGUCGUAAAACUCUGUUGUUAGGGAAGAACAAGUGCUAGUUGAAUAAGCUGGCACCUUGACGGUACCUAACCAGAAAGCCACGGCUAACUACGUGCCAGCCGCCGCGGUAA
RNAcentral lists this ribosomal RNA (515 nucleotides) under uncultured bacterium. Its description in RNAcentral is "partial 16S ribosomal RNA". It matches the Rfam family "Bacterial small subunit ribosomal RNA", at positions 28 to 523 of the family's 1533-position model. The record is from RNAcentral.